GAUGAAGAACGUAGCGAAAUGCGAUAAGUAAUGUGAAUUGCAGAGUUCAGUGAAUCAUCGAAUCUUUGAACGCACAUUGCGCCCGCCAGUAUUCUGGCGGGCAUGCCUGUUCGAGCGUCAUUACAACCCUCAGGCCCCCGGGCCUGGCGUUGGGGAUCGGCGAGGCGCCCCCCGCGGGCACGCGCCGUCCCCCAAAUACAGUGGCGGUCCCGCCGCAGCUUCCAUUGCGUAGUAGCUAACACCUCGCAACUGGAGAGCGGCGCGGCCAUGCCGUAAAACACCCAACUUCUGAAUGUUGACCUCGAAUCAGGUAGGAAUACCCGCUGAACUUAAGCAUAUCAAUAAGCGGAGGA
Molecule: unclassified non-coding RNA, 353 nt
Filed under: soil metagenome
Description: partial contains 5.8S ribosomal RNA, internal transcribed spacer 2, and large subunit ribosomal RNA
Rfam family: 5.8S ribosomal RNA (bases 1-120)
Source: RNAcentral